CCUACGGGAGGCAGCAGUGAGGAAUCUUGGUCAAUGGACGAGAGUCUGAACCAGCCAUGCCGCGUGAAGGAUGACUGCUCUCUGGGUUGUAAACUUCUUUUAUAAAGGCAUAAAUCGCAACACGUGUACCUUUUUGCAUGUAUUUUACGAAUAAGGAUCGGCUAACUCCGUGCCAGCAGCCGCGGUAAUACGGAGUCUCCGAGCGUUAUCCGGAUUUAUUGGGUUUAAAGGGUGCGUAGGUGGUUUGUUAAGUCAGUUGUGAAAGGUGGCGGCUCAACCGUAAAACUGCAAAUGAUACGGGCAGACUUGAGUACAGUUGAGGUAGGCGGAAUUCGUGGUGUAGCGGUGAAAUGCUUAGAUAUCACGAAGAACCCCGAUUGCGAAGGCAGCUUACUAAACUGUAACUGACGUUGAGGCACGAAAGUGUGGGGAGCAAACAGGAUUAGAUACCCUAGUAGUC
Molecule: ribosomal RNA, 460 nt
Filed under: uncultured bacterium
Lineage: Bacteria
Description: partial 16S ribosomal RNA
Rfam family: Bacterial small subunit ribosomal RNA
Source: RNAcentral